AUCGCUGCCGACGAUCCUCAUCGAUGUAAGAGAAUCCGCCGCAUAGUUUGAUUAUGCUUUUCCAUAGCGAAGAGUCCUAUGAGGCAGUACUCACCGACGAUCCUCAUUGCGUAGAAGCCAUUUCUUCUUCUUUGGGUUAAGCCAGUGAAAAAGUUAAGCUAGGGAGCGAGGAAUUUGGGAAAAGCUAGGAAGGUUUCGUUAGAUAAGAAGAUGAAGUAAUCUAUUGACUAAUUCCAAGACUAUAUUUCCUUUAUUUUGUACCUAUGACUAAAGUAUG
Ananas comosus (pineapple) is the source of this 277-nucleotide long non-coding RNA. RefSeq lists it as uncharacterized. The transcript is spliced from 3 exons. Lineage: Eukaryota; Viridiplantae; Streptophyta; Magnoliopsida; Poales; Bromeliaceae. The record is from RefSeq and is a predicted model, not a curated record.